GUUUUCUUGGCUCCUAGCCCAGUGGCACCUAUCCUGGCUUUUGGUCCCUGCUUACGGCCAAGCGCUGUCCCCAGCCUGGGGCUUGAGCAGUUGGUGGUGGUGUCGUGGUGCUGAUACAAUAUUAAUGAAGCCAUCAAUUAAAAAUCCACUAAAUAUUGGUGAGGCCUAUGAGAAAAAAAACAUAAAGGAAAUAUUUCUGAAGCAGAAGUCUGCCAUAACUACUAUCCUAUCAGAGGCCCUUCCUACUUCACAUUAGUAUUCCUAAACUGUCAUCCUAAAACCUGGCCAUGGUGCCUACCAUGGGAAGACAACUUCUGGACACUCAUCUUAAGGAUGCACUCUGCCUUCCUGAAAGGGAUAAGAAUAUGUGACGGAUUCUCAGGCUCCCCAGAGAGAAGGAUAUAGCAUUAUAUAUGAGCACCGUACGAUACUAUUGUAUUUCUAAGACAGUAAUUGUACAAAACAGAAUUAUUUCAACCAUGUUGCCACUCCAUCUAACAACUGUGAAAGCUAAAUAUGAAUAUGAGCCAAUGGCAGAAAGACUUCUGAAACUCAUUCUUAACUUUAUAGUAGAAACAUUUAUAUUAAAAAAAAAAUCUCCAUUUAAAAAUAUAUUGCUAAGUUAGACUCUAUGAAAUUUAUAAUUAGCUAAUAACAUAAUUUAUCUACACAAACGUUAAAAACUGACAGUCAGUGGAUACAUUAUUUCAUACCAAAAGUUACUCUAUCUAGAAGAAAAUAAAAUAAUUUCUAUAAAUUAAUCUUCGAAUCUUUAAAGUACCAAUUUACAAGACAGGACAUUGAAAAAAGUCAUCAUUCUAUUUGUAAAGAAGGCCAAGACAACGCAUCUCAGGUGGGAGCCAACCAUGUACGUGUUGCUACUAUCAAUCGUGGCCCUCAGUCAAGAACAUGCAUUUCUGGUUCAUUUCAUCAAGAAUAAUUGUCUUAUUUGUUUCUCCCUCUUGGCACAGAGUUAUGACAAAAUUUAUUCUUAAUCUCAUUAGAUUUUCAAAAGACAUCACACCGAAAUUCAAAUCAUGGCUAAACUCUCCAAGUGUGGUACGUGGGGGAAAUGGAGAAAUACAUGUCUAUAUCAGAGCCACAGAUUGUCAAUUCCUCUUAAAACUGAAAUUUAUCCUCCAGAUUUCCCUUGUGUGUUACUUUCUGUCCUGAAUUCAUUCCUUAUUUAGCCUUUACUAAUUUGUUUCAGAUAUAGUAGUGUAAGCAGCAGCAAUGUGACCAGAGUGAGCACUAUACUUUAUUUCCAUUUAUUUCCAUAUAAACAUUUUGGCAGCCACGUAAGUUCAUUGAGUCCUUUGGAAAUCUAAUCAUAACAGAAAA
Microcebus murinus (gray mouse lemur) is the source of this 1341-nucleotide non-coding RNA. The record is from RefSeq and is a predicted model, not a curated record. Lineage: Eukaryota; Metazoa; Chordata; Mammalia; Primates; Cheirogaleidae.